RNAcentral lists this ribosomal RNA (445 nucleotides) under Streptococcus mitis. RNAcentral's name for it is "bacterial SSU rRNA". It matches the Rfam family "Bacterial small subunit ribosomal RNA", at positions 39 to 470 of the family's 1533-position model. The record is from RNAcentral. Lineage: Bacteria; Bacillati; Bacillota; Bacilli; Lactobacillales; Streptococcaceae.
GCGGCGUGCCUAAUACAUGCAAGUAGAACGCUGAAGGAGGAGCUUGCUUCUCUGGAUGAGUUGCGAACGGGUGAGUAACGCGUAGGUAACCUGCCUGGUAGCGGGGGAUAACUAUUGGAAACGAUAGCUAAUACCGCAUAAGAGUAGAUGUCGCAUGACAUUUGCUUAAAAGGUGCAAUUGCAUCACUACCAGAUGGACCUGCGUUGUAUUAGCUAGUUGGUGGGGUAACGGCUCACCAAGGCGACGAUACAUAGCCGACCUGAGAGGGUGAUCGGCCACACUGGGACUGAGACACGGCCCAGACUCCUACGGGAGGCAGCAGUAGGGAAUCUUCGGCAAUGGACGGAAGUCUGACCGAGCAACGCCGCGUGAGUGAAGAAGGUUUUCGGAUCGUAAAGCUCUGUUGUAAGAGAAGAAUGAGUGUGAGAGUGGGAAGUUCACACU